RNAcentral lists this ribosomal RNA (429 nucleotides) under Chloroflexota bacterium. RNAcentral's name for it is "Chloroflexi bacterium partial 16S ribosomal RNA". It matches the Rfam family "Bacterial small subunit ribosomal RNA", at positions 355 to 776 of the family's 1533-position model. Lineage: Bacteria; Bacillati; Chloroflexota. The record is from RNAcentral.
UGGGGAAUAUUGCACAAUGGGCGCAAGCCUGAUGCAGCCAUGCCGCGUGUAUGAAGAAGGCCUUCGGGUUGUAAAGUACUUUCAGCGGGGAGGAAGGGAGUAAAGUUAAUACCUUUGCUCAUUGACGUUACCCGCAGAAGAAGCACCGGCUAACUCCGUGCCAGCAGCCGCGGUAAUACGGAGGGUGCAAGCGUUAAUCGGAAUUACUGGGCGUAAAGCGGACGCAGGCGGUUUGUUAAGUCAGAUGUGAAAUCCCCGGGCUAAACCUGGGAACUGGAUGGGAGACUGGCAAGAUUGAGUCUCGUAGAGGGGGGUAGAAUUCCAGGUGUAGCGGUGAAAUGCGUAGAGAUCUGGAGGAAUACCGGUGGCGAAGGCGGCCCCCUGGACGAAGACUGACGCUAAGGUGCGAAAGCGUGGGGAGCAAACAGG